CUGGCUAUCCAGGACCAGUGGGGCCAAAAGGAGACAGAGGCGAACCAGGCUAUGUCCUGGGAGGAGUGGAGGUGAUUCCCAGGCGGAACGGGCAACCUGGCCCUCCUGGACAGAAAGGGCAGCCAGGGGUUCCUGGCGUAACAGGACCACCAGGUUUACCAGGGCCACAGGGGCCACCGGGGAUGUCCAUCAAGGGCGAACCAGGGGAUUCAGGUAUCAGGGGUCCUCGCGGGAGGAAUGGCCUCAAGGGUGACAAAGGAGGCGUGGGAGAGCCGGUGAGUUAUCUGCUGAUGGCCAGUCACUAAGGGAGAGCCACAGGCCGCUGCCAGGGAUGGGAAAGUGCCGUUGACCUUGGCACGCCAGCUUCCGAGCUGUCU
Molecule: long non-coding RNA, 377 nt
Filed under: Struthio camelus australis
Lineage: Eukaryota; Metazoa; Chordata; Aves; Struthioniformes; Struthionidae
Description: lncRNA (ENSSCUG00000011703.1)
Source: RNAcentral